CCUGAAGACCAAUUAGCCAAUUAGCUUUGAUCUUAUCAAAGGCACGCAUAUUUGCAUUCAAACUGGAACUUAAGCACCCCAUCAGCAAAUUUAACUACGCCGCUGGUGGGUGGUCUCGCCUUAAUCCACUGAAAUAAAAUGUACUGUUAUCGAAAGUUGCUUCCCUCCUGCAGUUUCUCCUGACCUACAGCAACCGGCAGAUUUGCCUUAAUAUGAUUUAACAAGAACACACCAGGAUUCAUCUGGAUGUGUUUAUCCUAUGUACAGAUGAGUUCUUAGGAGAUAUUUCUUCUAAAGCCUCAAUUUCAUUGUUCUAAAUCAGGCCGCAUUACAGACAAAUGGAUGAAAUUGCAGGAAUAGUAAAAAUCUAUUUACUGAGUCAAUGUUUAUGUUAAAUACUAUUAAAUCAAAAUCAGACAGAAAUUAAAGACUCAAUAUUUGGGGUGUGCUGAUUACAUUUGCAGUUAUUUGAAUCUGCAAGUUUUGGUUGCGAGGCUUAUCUGAAAGCAAUUAACAAUGAACAUAGUAGUUGCGUUUAUUUUGAUCAAUAUUGUUGUUAUUGCAUGAUGGCUACAUCAUAUGAAUAUUAAAAUAUAAUUAUAAAUAAAAUAUAAUAAUUCUCCAAAAACUCAAAGGAAAGCCUUUUAAUAAUGCUGUAGUUGGGGGAGAUGACAUAAUUAGACAUUAAUCUUUAUUUUCUAACUACGCAGCUAACGCUAAUUUCCAAGAUGGCGGCCAUCCAGUCAAGCUUCUUCGCUGAAGGACGAUCGGCAAACGCCGGGUACGACUUCAGGGCAGGCAGAGGUUGAAGGCUUCCCACAUUAGGAACGCUCCAGAACCCGAAAAGCGUUAACUAAGACCAUCGUCAACGAAGUCAGAACCACCAGGAAGAACCGAAAACAGCUAAUUUAAUGCGAUAAUUCGCAUUAGCACAGCACCAUGACUCCGCAGCUACGAGAUUUCCAUCACCGGACAGGUGCCUUGAUAGAGAGCCAGAGGGUCAAGUUGAUUUACCAACUGUUUUUGCUGGAGAAUGCCCGAAAAACGCUGGAAAGAGAACUUAUUAACUUCACCAAAAAGGCAUAUGAGGACGUUCAGAAUUUCUUCAGUUCAUCUGUUCCCGCUGUUUCAUUCAGUGAUCUUGUGAAGACUUUGGAUGCAAACCUGCAAGCUGUUGAGGUGCUUUCUGCCUUUGCAAAAGAAUUCUCAGUGGGGGCAUCCACUUUUAAAUGUUUUAAAAAGAAGUCACGACUGAACGCGGUUGAACCGUUUGGGUGGAAAAGGAUGGCACCUGUUUUCGGUGAUGGCCCCGCAUUGUGGGACUUGCUCAUAGGCCGCUCUGGAUCUAAAGCGGUGCGGGUAUUUGGAGCGACAAAGCUUUUACAAGAGCCGAAACUAUUCCUCAUCCCACCACGUGUUUUCAUUCAGCAGGAUGAUAGAAUAUGCAGCAGGUGUGCUGUUAUCACUGUGAACUCGUCCUCUUGCAUAAAAGAGGAAGAACAGGAACAAGCUGUUGCUGUAGAAGAGAAACACACACUGGGCGACGUGACCUUUUCACCUGAUGGUGUUCAGAGUCCCUCGGCUGGUCCAGGGAGACCACGUCUCCUGCUGCCUUUUACGCCGACAAUUUUCCCACAAGCCAACAUUCCCGCUUCAGAGAAAAUAACCCAGCUUAGCGACUGUAGAAACAUGGAAGAUGGUCAGAUGCUACACCAGAAACAAACAUCACCUCAGCUGCUUUGCUUUCUCAAAGCUAAAGCUAAAGAUUUAGGCACAUUACCGGCAAGGGUGUGGUUCGAAGAACACGCCAACGUGUCUAGUCCACCCCAGCUGGUUUCCACCUCCGACGAAAUCCAGGCCCGCCAACCGAAACAUGUCUCAGAUGAUGCGAUUGACACAGAAGUGCCAAAGCAAGAUGUCGAGAACCAAACCCGGGUCUUUAAAGUCAAGCAUGAAGAAUCCAGCGGCUCUCUGACUUAUGCGUACGUAACGGCAACAACAACAGAAUUAUGGGAUUUGGGAGACAUCUUUACGGAAGCUUCGCAGGAGCUUUCAGACGUCAGACGCGUGGAAGAUGAAGCAUGUGGAAAUGUCGAGCAUGAGGAUAUGAGCUCCUGUGUGAAUCCAGCAGAGCCCGUGCGCGAGAGCGCUCGUGGUCCCCCAAUGCCCACAGUCAAUGGAAUCGCCAUCCCCGAGUUCCACAUCCACAGGUUCGGAGAAAGCGAAGUUGUUGUGUCUCACAUCAUUUCCCCAGGCAACUUCUUCAUCCAGCAGGCUGACUCCAUCACCAAGCUGCAGGCCCUGAUCACACACAGCUGGGCAGCACAUUAUUCAUAUGCUGAGCAGAGCAGAAUUCCAGACAUUGGAACCAAAGUCAUGGGUUGGUUUCCAAAGCAGCAGCAGUGGUCCAGGGCUCAAGUAAUGAAGAUCUGUGGAAUCACUGAAGAUACGGAUCCCAUGAAUCGUGGAAAGUCUAUCAAAGUGGAGGUGAAGCGGUUGGACCAUGGUGACGCCGCCUGUCUGUCUCUGCAGAACAUCACUGACAUGUCCCCAGAAAUGGCAGCCCUCCCACUGCAGGCUUUACAGGUCUCUUUGGCACACGUGAUGCCGGUGAAUGGGAUCAGUUGGUCCGAGGAGGCGGUUGAGUGGUUCCACACGAUGGUGCGCAACAGGACGCUCUAUGCUAGACUGUAUCCACGGGGAUGUGACGUUACUGUGGAGCUGUUCUUUGAAAGGGGAAAGAUUGGAGCUAUGAGGCGGGGUGCGUCGCUGUCUCUGAGACUGUCCCAGAAUGGACAUGCAAAAUAUAGGAACGGCGGCUCUGUGAAGAGAAGCAUUGUUGAGAGGAAAAAACAGGACGCUGACUGGGCGAAGCACCUCAUCCAGCGCUAUACUCGGAACAAGAAGUAACGCUGUUCCUGAUUUGAAAUGACAGAUGAAUCAUCCAGAGUUCACCGAGUGGACACAGCGGACAAGUUGCACUCGGAGAAACCGCUGCAGUGAGACGUCAACAAGCACAUUUAAAUAAGAUCAAUCCUCUCUUGUAUUUAAACAAGACAUACGCUGAACGGUGGUAGUUAAGUCAUUGUUCUUGUGUAGAAUGUAGGUCUGUUCAGUCGUGUAACAGGUCACACAGCAGUGGUGGAGAGGGCUACACACAUGGGCUUCCCCAUACACACACAGUAAGACCUGCAAACACAGAAAUGACAAAAGGCUGCGGGUAAAUUUGUUUCUUAAAUCCAGUUAAUCCGCCAUUAAGCGCAACGCUUCACUCUUACAGCGCGGUGUGUAUCAGCCCACCAACGUUACUCACAACAGGGAAGAGUGUAGAUUAGGUGGUGCUGCAUGCCCCUCUGAGGUUCCUGCAGACAGACAUAGCCUUUGUUAUCUGCUCCCUGCAGUGUGUUUCUGCUUUGUGUUUGCAGCACUUGUGUUGGGGUUUCUUGCCCGCUGACCGUCACCUCUAAACAGUAUUGGCAGCAUUCUCUGUCCCUUUUCAAGAAUUCAUUUGAGUUUCUCUUUCAAGAUGUUAAAAUGAUCUGGCUGGUUUGAAGCAGCAAGUUGGCUAAUGAGAUUUGUUUUAGUCCGCCGUGGUGUGGAAGAGGCGUGUUUUGGCCUUUUCUUUGUCUGCCAUUUUUUGACAAUUUGUUUUAGUUUACAUUUGGGUUCAAAUUUGUGGGUUGUGGUUGCCACCAGAUGGCGCAAUUCAGUACUAUUUCCUGUCUUUAAAGAGGGAUUUGCCACCAUGCUGGACCGUGUGGGUCCAGUUUGUUUACUCUGAACUUUUCUAGAUGAUACAAUUGUGAUAAAGGAUGCUUUCAAUAUUUGAACCUUGUCCCAAGGGGGGGGGGGUAUAACCACUACAUUAAACAAUGAACAAGGAGGAAAGUCUCUUUAUUUUUCUCAACAGUGCCUGUUUGCCAUAAGUUCAUUUCCUUUUAUAAGCAUUAAACCAUGAUCAUAGAAGGUUUUGUCACGUGUCCUCCCCUGUUUUAGAACAGUGGCCCGUUCUACCUCAUGGUUUUCAUAUCUUACUUGCAAUGUUGGAAAAACCAGCUCGUGUAAUCUGGUACGAACGCUUGAAUGCUUCUGGGUUACAAAGGACUCUAUCUGAGAGUUCAUUCAAAGAAUUAGCAGACCACCCAAACCCUCCCACCACCUCUGCUCUGACGCAGAGACGCUCCUGACGGGGACAAAUCAGCGGCACUGAACAAAUGAACAUAUUGUGUUUGAUCUUAUUCUCAGUUGUUAGAGGACGGGGUUUGACCGGGGGCGGGGGGCAUAAACUAUAAAUAAAACUGCAUCUGAUGAGAAACAUUGACUUCUUCCCAAUUUCUCUGCGAAAUAUUUUGGACGACAGAAAUCCGUCAGCGAAUCCGGCUGCAGUUGGUUUGAAAGUUCAGCCGAGAGGUUCAAGUGCAGAGGAAUCUGCAGCCGCUCAGGCACUUGUCUCUCAGUGGCUCAGGUCAAAAGCUUCCUUCGCUUGCAGCCCUGCACAAUAAAUAAUGUGCCAGGCAGAGGCCUUUUGUGUCCACACAGAUUCCUCCUUUUGCUCGGGGUGGGUGGCAAUCGAGGCAUUUGAUCUGAAUUCUAAAGAGUCUUGUUGGGGCCCAAUAAAGCCCGCCAUUGUAUGUAAAUAGUUUAUAUAAGAGCAUAUGACCGCUCCGGUGCAGGGCAGCGGCUAGUGGUGGAGGAAUGAUUAGCAUUUUCCGAGCGCAUGGUGUGCCCGAUCCGACCUUUUGGCUCGCUAAGAAACAUAUUUUAUUCCAUUUCUUCCUGCUUUGUACACAUUUGUGUGUACCACCACAGCUGAAGGUAAAACGCUCUUUGUCUCCUAACUCUCAGUCUAAUGAGGUCAGACUAUUAAAAAUUCACCGCUGCACCAUGAACAAAAUAUUAUUGAUGAAUUAUUACAGUACUUUAUAAUCAUUAGUAUAUGGAUCAUUUGAUUUAUCUCUGCGCUGCAUGUGGGACUGAAGCCUUUGUUCUUUUCUGUAGCUGUAUUUCGGUUUGCGACUCCCGUAUUAAUACGUCCCCAGCUGGUCACGUGAUGACGCAAAUGUUUCGCACUUUGGUUUUGUCCAAUUGCGUGUUGUGACGGUGUUUGGUGGCAGGCCAUCACCCCCGGUUUAAUAGGGCCAAUGGGCUGCCUGGCAUUUCUUUUCUGUUCCUUAUUCUGCCAAAUCUAACUCGAUGCUCAGGUUUUGCCCCAAGAUGGUCAUCUUUGGACCCGGUGCUGCUUACGCCGCUUGCACUGCUGGCUGAGCCCGGUAAACCUCUACCAACGACAACUUUUCCUGAUUAUGAAGCUAGAGAUACUUAAUUGCUACAUUUGUUUGAUAGAAAGACCUAAAUCGUGACUAGCCUGAGCCCUUUCCUUCGUUAAUGUCGGCUUUACUGACUGUGACCGUUUUGCAGACCUGGAGUCUAAAAUGAACUGGGGAACCUUUUACGCCCUGAUCAGCGGCGUAAACAGGCACUCGACCGGCAUCGGGAGGGUUUGGCUCUCCGUCAUCUUCGUCUUCCGAAUCCUGGUGUUGGUGGUGGCUGCUGAGAGCGUUUGGGGAGACGAGAAGUCGGGCUUCACCUGCAACACCCAGCAGCCUGGCUGCAACAGCGUCUGCUACGACCAGUUCUUCCCCAUCUCGCACAUCCGCCUUUGGGCUCUGCAGCUGAUCCUGGUCUCCACCCCGGCCCUGCUGGUGGCCAUGCACGUAGCCCACAGACGGCACAUCGACAAGAAGAUCCUGAAGAGGGCCGGCCGGGGCACCCCCAAAGACCUGGAGCAGAUCAAGAACCAGAGGUUCCAGAUCACCGGAGCUCUGUGGUGGACGUACAUGAUCAGCAUCAUCUUCAGGAUCGUCUUUGAGGUGGCUUUUCUCUACAUCUUCUACCUGAUCUAUCCAGGUUUCAAAAUGGUGCGUUUGGUCAAGUGCGACUCGUACCCCUGCCCCAACACCGUGGACUGUUUUGUGUCCAGACCCACAGAGAAGACCAUAUUUACCGUGUUCAUGCUGGGGGUCUCGGGGGUGUGUGUGCUUCUGAACUUGGCUGAGAUGGUCUACCUCAUCGGCCGGGCCUGCAGGCAGUGCAUCAGAGGCUCGGAAGAAACCUCCAAAGUCCCCUGGAUCAGUCAAAAAUUGUCCUCUUACAGGCAAAAUGAGAUUAACGAACUGAUAUUGGACCAUCCCCUCAGGUCAAAGUUCGGCGUGACCAAAAAGAAGCCCAGCUGAGAAGGGCGGGAACUGUUCCUCUUUCUUUAACUAACCACUCACAGCUCCACGGUGGAGCAGACAAUGAGUUAAACAUUGUCUUCUUACACAUUCACGCAGUUUCUGUAAGAGAGUCAAUCGCUUUAUUCUGUCCAUUUAUACAUCGAUCCAUACAUCGAUCUGUACAUCUCUGGGUCAGGAUCAGCUCCAUCUGACAAACUGUAAUUGUCCUUUAACAGGACCUAAGGUUACUUUGCAUUUAAAAUGCUGGAUAUAGGUUGAAGUCCCCAAAUCUAACAGAUUGUCUUUAACUUCGGAGACGGAUGCAGCAGCAAUAAUGGGAAACUCCUUGAUUAACGUGGGCAUAACAUAUUGUAGAUCUUAUGCCUGAAUUUACAGUUUGUGACUUGGAUGAUGUUUAACUGCCAACGUGAGCGACGCUUCCUCGAGUUUGAUCUGACCUUUUUCUCAACGUUGACCUUCCUAACAGGAGCUCCCUGUUGUCUGCACCUCUUUUUAGCUUCUUUUUUUUAGAUUUUCUUGUGUACUAUAACGUUCAGCCACUCUCUCUCUCUCUCGUGGCUCAUGUGCUGGUUUCAUUUGGAGCUUAAAAAUACUGAUGUCCAAAUGUAUAGAGUGUAUGAGUUUACUCCCCGAUAAACAAUCCAGUUAAAAGCCUGUGUGAUAUGGGGUUGGAGAGGAGGGUGUACAAUAUGAAAUAUAAACCAAUAAACUCUCUGAUGCUUUGAACUUUCACUGACUUUUCUCCUCCUGACUCUGAUUUGUAGCUUGAGGUUGCAAAUGGCUACUCAUCUUCAAAUCAUGACACCCCCCAUCCAUGAUAGGAGAGACCUUCCUGCUAAAUUUAGCCCCCAGAAGCCCUUGUGACCAGCCAGACUGCAGCAUGUCAUUGGCCAG
Molecule: long non-coding RNA, 7130 nt
Filed under: Takifugu rubripes (torafugu)
Lineage: Eukaryota; Metazoa; Chordata; Actinopteri; Tetraodontiformes; Tetraodontidae
Description: lncRNA (ENSTRUG00000031565.1)
Source: RNAcentral